UGAACGCUGGCGGCAUGCCUUACACAUGCAAGUCGAACGGCAGCACGGGUGCUUGCACCUGGUGGCGAGUGGCGAACGGGUGAGUAAUACAUCGGAACGUGUCCUGUAGUGGGGGAUAGCCCGGCGAAAGCCGGAUUAAUACCGCAUACGAUCUACGGAUGAAAGCGGGGGAUCUUCGGACCUCGCGCUAUAGGGGCGGCCGAUGGCGGAUUAGCUAGUUGGUGGGGUAAAGGCCUACCAAGGCGACGAUCCGUAGCUGGUCUGAGAGGACGACCAGCCACACUGGGACUGAGACACGGCCCAGACUCCUACGGGAGGCAGCAGUGGGGAAUUUUGGACAAUGGGCGAAAGCCUGAUCCAGCAAUGCCGCGUGUGUGAAGAAGGCCUUCGGGUUGUAAAGCACUUUUGUCCGGAAAGAAAUCCCUGGUCCUAAUAUGGCCGG
Molecule: ribosomal RNA, 442 nt
Filed under: Burkholderia sp. OKI-1
Lineage: Bacteria; Pseudomonadati; Pseudomonadota; Betaproteobacteria; Burkholderiales; Burkholderiaceae
Also listed under: 6 other names
Description: bacterial SSU rRNA
Rfam family: Bacterial small subunit ribosomal RNA
Source: RNAcentral